Molecule: non-coding RNA, 659 nt
Organism: Malus domestica (apple)
Lineage: Eukaryota; Viridiplantae; Streptophyta; Magnoliopsida; Rosales; Rosaceae
Source: RefSeq, a predicted model, not a curated record
AAAAAAAGAAAGAAAUCAUGGCAAGCUCUGAGUGAUGCUCAAAUCCACCAGCCCUGAACCCGUCCAGCGGCUCUGGCCACGUCGAAAAGCUCGGUGGUUUCGAUACCUAUGUCACUGGCUCCCCUGACUCCAAGCUUUCCGUUCUUCUCGUCCAUGAUGCUUUUGUUGAUUGCAUUGCUGUUCUAUAAGAAAACCACCUGUUAAUGUUAAAUUUUGUUUGGCCAUGGAGGGUAUGAAGCUCCAAAGGCAAGGAACCUUGCAGACAAAAUUGCAGCUGCUGGGUUCAUUGUUGUGCUCCCUAACUUCUUCAACGGAGACCCUUUUAAUGGGGACCAUGCCUCUAUUCCCGUUUGGAGAAAAGCUCAUGCACCGGUUGGUUCUUUUGUUUUGAUGCAGAUUCUAAAUAUUUUGUUUGUUUGUAAUAUAAGUCCUUUCACAAGUAUCUGUAUGUAUGUGAUUCGUGAAUUUACUUAGACCUUGGGAGACAUUUUCAUUUCAGCUUGGCAUGUAGGAAGUGUAGAGGGAUGGAAAUACUUAACAAGUUUAUAGGAAAUCUGAGUUGCUACAGCAAAGCUCUUGUAUUACUUCUUAUUGUAACUCUCUUGAUACAAAAUGAUAUGCCAAAGGCUAUAUAAAGAGAAUACAAAGUACUAGAGAGU